Molecule: transfer RNA, 83 nt
Filed under: Podarcis lilfordi (Lilford's wall lizard)
Lineage: Eukaryota; Metazoa; Chordata; Lepidosauria; Squamata; Lacertidae
Description: tRNA.Ile
Source: RNAcentral
CCCCCAUGGAUAGCUCAGUUGAUUAGAGUGUGGUGCUGAUGAUAAUGCCAGGGUUGCAGGUUUGAUCCCUGUAUGGGCCAGGU